AUAACGACUCUCGGCAACGGAUAUCUCGGCUCUCGCAUCGAUGAAGAACGUAGCGAAAUGCGAUACUUGGUGUGAAUUGCAGAAUCCCGCGAAUCAUCGAGUCUUUGAACGCAAGUUGCGCCCUAGGCCAUCCGGCUGAGGGCACGUCUGCCUGGGUGUCACUCAC
This 166-nucleotide ribosomal RNA is filed under the name Vasconcellea glandulosa. RNAcentral describes it as "5.8S ribosomal RNA". It matches the Rfam family "5.8S ribosomal RNA". From Rfam's summary of the family: 5.8S ribosomal RNA (5.8S rRNA) is a component of the large subunit of the eukaryotic ribosome. The record is from RNAcentral. Lineage: Eukaryota; Viridiplantae; Streptophyta; Magnoliopsida; Brassicales; Caricaceae.